UCCAGUUUGGGUGACAGGCGAGACUCUGUCUUUGUUUCUUGUUUUUUUUUUUUUUUUUUUUUUUUUUUUAAUAGGGACAAAAACAGGGCAGACCUUCCCCUUGAGGCUAAGGGGAUGCAAAACUCUAGGCAAAGAGAAGAGAACGAUGUACUUCAAAAAAAAAAAAAAAAAAAAAAAAAAAAAAAAUCCACAGCAAGGCAGACGAUCCCACCCACUUCUGGCUCUGGUAGCUUGGCAGGCAACACCUCUAGAGCUCUUGCAUAGAGUAGUGAAAGAAAUGUGUACUGGUAGGAGAAUGUGGACUUCUGCAAAGGGAUAUUGACAAUGUAAGUUGUAAUGGAUUUUUUAAACCAGUUUCUGAAUAUACAUGAAUAUGGAUGAUAAUUAUUCUUUCCCUAUAUACCACGUAUUAACAAAAUAAAUGUCAAGCAGUGUGUUACAUUGCACGCUCUUUGUUUUCAUGAUUUCAUUAACCCUUGAACAUAUUUUGAAGGAAACAGUAAGAAAUUAGAUUCAAAUAUGAAUUAUCAGACUAUUAGGG
This 541-nucleotide long non-coding RNA is filed under the name Pan troglodytes (chimpanzee). Its description in RNAcentral is "long non-coding RNA NONPTRT012478". Lineage: Eukaryota; Metazoa; Chordata; Mammalia; Primates; Hominidae. The record is from RNAcentral.